AAUAGAUACCCGGGUAGUCCAUGCCGUAAACGAUGUCUACUAGCCGUUGGGGCCUUUGAGGCUUUAGUGGCGCAGCUAACGCGAUAAGUAGACCGCCUGGGGAGUACGGUCGCAAGACUAAAACUCAAAUGAAUUGACGGGGGCCCGCACAAGCGGUGGAGCAUGUGGUUUAAUUCGAUGCAACGCGAAGAACCUUACCUGGUCUUGACGUAGUAAGAACUUUCCAGAGAUGGAUUGGUGCCUUCGGGAACUUACAUACAGGUGCUGCAUGGCUGUCGUCAGCUCGUGUCGUGAGAUGUUGGGUUAAGUCCCGCAACGAGCGCAACCCUUUUCCUUAUUUGCCAGCGGGUUAAGCCGGGAACCUUAAGGAUACUGCCAGUGACAAACUGGAGGAAGGCGGGGACGACGUCAAGUCAUCAUGGCCCUUACGACCAGGGCUACACACGUGCUACAAUGGUCGGUACAAAGGGUUGCUACCUAGCGAUAGGAUGCUAAUCUCAAAAAGCCGAUCGUAGUCCGGAUUGGAGUCUGCAACUCGACUCC
RNAcentral lists this ribosomal RNA (543 nucleotides) under uncultured bacterium. RNAcentral's name for it is "bacterial SSU rRNA". It matches the Rfam family "Bacterial small subunit ribosomal RNA", at positions 777 to 1319 of the family's 1533-position model. The record is from RNAcentral.